RNAcentral lists this ribosomal RNA (455 nucleotides) under uncultured bacterium. Its description in RNAcentral is "bacterial SSU rRNA". It matches the Rfam family "Bacterial small subunit ribosomal RNA", at positions 30 to 477 of the family's 1533-position model. The record is from RNAcentral.
AUUGAACGCUGGCGGCGUGCCUAACACAUGCAAGUCGAGCGGUAACAGGUGUAGCAAUACAUGCUGACGAGCGGCGAACGGGUGAGUAAUGCUUCGGAAUCUACCCAAUGGUGGGGAAUAACCAGCCGAAAGGUUGGCUAAUACCGCAUACGUCCCACGGGAGAAAGCAGGGGAUCGCAAGACCUUGCGCCAAUGGAUGAGCCGAAGUCGGAUUAGCUAGUUGGAGGGUAACGGCCUACCAAGGCGACGAUCCGUAGCUGGUCUGAGAGGACGACCAGCCACACUGGGACUGAGACACGGCCCAGACUCCUACGGGAGGCAGCAGUGGGGAAUAUUGGACAAUGGGGGAAACCCUGAUCCAGCGACGCCGCGUGUGUGAAGAAGGCCUGCGGGUUGUAAAGCACUUUUAGUGGGGAUGAAAUGUUCAGGGUUAACACCUCUGGAUUUUGACCUAA